Octopus sinensis (East Asian common octopus) is the source of this 227-nucleotide long non-coding RNA. RefSeq lists it as uncharacterized. The transcript has 4 exons. The record is from RefSeq and is a predicted model, not a curated record. Lineage: Eukaryota; Metazoa; Mollusca; Cephalopoda; Octopoda; Octopodidae.
AUCAUAUCUGCUGUUGAUGACGUUUUUUUGUCCAACAGGAUGAAAGUUUCUUUCACCAAUGGGAUCCAAGCAGUGCAACACCAAUGAAAGAAGUGUGUUGAUUGUGAAAGCGGACUAUGUUGAAAAAUAAAUCUCAUUUGGUCACAUUCCAUGAGAGGAUCUUGGUCAGUUUAUGAAUUUUGCAGCUGACCCUCAUAAACAACUCAGAAACCUUAUUAUUACAUUCA